AUAGACGAUAAACAGUCUACAAUAGUUAUUUCAUAGCAAUUGUCUCAGCAGUCUCUCAUCAACACACUUUGUAUACAGAAUUAUAUAAUCAAUAAAAGAUACAGCAAUAUGACUUUUAAAAAAUCCUGGCGAUUUCACACAGUUAACGAGAUUCAAAAAGUAUUUUAGCGACAAUGUUUUGCUUCGAUAAAAUAUUAAGAGAUAACCAGUUUUUUUGAACAGGCAUUUGUUGUCCAUGUAAACCUGUUCAUCAUGAGGUGGUUUGCAAUGACAACGUUAGUCUUCCAGCCUGUAGGAGGCAGUACACGGCUUGCCCGGGUGUUAGAUUACAUGUGGAAGUGGCAAGAAGCUAGUUUCUGUGUCAAGUAAUGCAGUACAUUAUAUCAGCAAAGAUUAAACAAGCGAGAAAAACAAAACAAACUGCUGUCUUGCACUGCACUGAACGUUAAGUUCGUACAUUUCCAUAGUAACCAGAAUGUUCGUAAAUUUAAAGGAUUUGGAGGAGACGCAGGGAGAAAGACGAUUACAGGAUCAUUUUCUCCUACAAGUAAGAAGUAUCAUUUACUAAAAUUAAGAAGUAUCAUUUACUAUUUUUGCAUUUUGAGACCUGACAGAAACAAAGACAAAAUCUGGAAUUGUUAGCAGACCACUCUACCUUUACGAAACACUAAACGUAAGAAAUGUUUCACCGGUAGUUUCAACAUUAUUGUCUGGCUAAGGAAAACAUGCACAAACAACAACAGUUUGCAUAUCGAUUAUCAUAAGUUAAUUUGUUUUCAUGCAAAACUUGUAGCUGCAGAAAUUCUCAGAAGUGCGACUUUGUUGUGUUUUUGAAAUUCAGUGAUAAAUAAAGCAGAGCAUUUCAUUACACGCAGUGAAAAAGCUAAACGUACGGUACUUUUUAUUUCAGUGUAAACAUAGAGCAUGCUCAAAUGUCACAAAUCCAUGGAAUGAGUUGCAAUUGAGCUUGUUAGAUAAAACAAUAGAUACACAAAAAUGCUAAGAAAAUGAAACACGUCAAGCGCUGGUGUUUAUUAAAAUAAAAUAUAAUUUAAUUGAAGGCGCUCAUGCUGCAACACUUAAAACAAAAUACAAUUAUUACAUUUACACCAAAUCUGGAAACAUAAUGAUAAAGUGCUUAUCAAAGGAAGUGCAGGCAAAACUCCGCUUUGGCAUUGCCAUCUUCUCAUUGACCCAGUGUGUGGAGGAGCUUCUCCUGAACAGCAUUGAUGCUGCUGCAACUUGCGUGGCUGUCAGGGUGGAUGUCGAGGCUUGCAAAAUCCAAGUUUUGGACAGUGGUUUCGGUAUGGACAGGGAGGACAUGGAGAGUGUGGGAAACCGGUAUUUUACAAGCAAGUGCAGUACUGUAGAAGAUCUGGAAAACCUGAGGUUUUAUGGUUUCAGAGGGGAGGCUAUUGCAAGCAUAGCUAACCUGGUGGAAAUUUCAUCCAGAACCAGCAGGUCUGCUCAAACCUUUGGUAAAGUCUUUAAGGAUGGCAAGCCGUUGGAUGUCUAUGAGGCUGAAACCACCAGACCAAGCUCAGGCACGACAGUGGUGAUCUGCAAUUUGUUUUACAACUUGCCGGUGCGGAGAAAAAACAUGAAUUCGAUUCUGGAAUGUGAACGGAUAAGGCAGAGGAUAGAAGCAUUCUCUCUUAUGCAUCCCUCUGUUUCGUUCACAUUGAAAAAUGAUUCCACUGGAUCAAUGAUAGUCCAGCUGUCCAAAUCAAAAAGCAGUUAUUACAGGUUUACCCAAAUUUAUGGACUGGGAAAAGCUCAAAAACUUAGAGAGAUCAGCUAUUCCUACAAGCAAUUUGAAAUGAGUGGCUAUAUCAGUCGUGAGGGUCACUAUAACAGCAGCAUGCAGUUUUUAUAUGUAAACAGUCGACUGGUUUUAAAAACCAGGCUUCAUAAAUUAAUAAAUAUUUUAUUGAAGAAAGUGAGUGUUGUCUGCAAGCAGAAAGAAAAAAAAAUGGUCACUACUCCCGCAAGUCCCUCUAGGCACAGGGCUAGUUCAGAGUUGCAGGGGGUGUAUGUUAUUAAUAUUAAAUGCCAUUACUCAGAGUAUGAUGUAUGCAUUGAACCUGCAAAAACCUUAAUUGAGUUUAGAGACUGGGAUGGCGUGUUGGUCUGUGUCGAGGAAGGAGUCAGGAAAUUCCUGACCAGGGAGAAUUUGGUGGCUGAGAUUUCAAGUGAUGACAUACAGGAGUUUAUAGAGGAAGGCAAACUUGCAAUGCAAGCCACCAGCGCCAAUAGCAAUGCUUGCGAGGAAAACGAUAUAGUGGGAAGUUGUAAGUCUGCAUGUGAGAACAUUAUAGAACCUUACGAUAUAAAAACACUGAGAUCUAAAGCUGUUCAUAGGUCACUAGUAUUUGCUUCUAAUGUAAGUGGAAGUAACGGUAAUGAAAAUGUGGCCAGUAGUAGCGAUUUAAAGGAAAAGAUUCCUUUACUUCGGGAUAGAACAAACUCCAGGUCUGUCUUCACAGAUGACAACAGCUCAUCGGCUUCAAAUGUGCAAAGUUUAGAAAAAGAGACCAAUAAAAAUCAGCCUGCUAAAGCGUCAGAAAUCUCAGCACUUUGUGAAACUUCAGAUGUCAAGAAUACUGUUUUGAAGAGUGCAAUAGCGUGACCAAAUUGAAAACAAAUCUGUGUAUAGAAAGCUCUGAAGAUACACUGAAACAGUUUGAAAGCCAGGACAGCAUACUGAUGGACAAUAACAAAGAAACUGAGAAAACCACAGACCUUGAUCCUGCCCUUCAUGUAGAGGGUAAAAGAGCCUGCACACAGAGUGAGGUAAUACAUGCAGAGGGUAGCACAGCGUGCACACAGAGUGAGGUAAUACAUGCAGAGGGUAGCACAGUGUGCACACAGAGUGAGGUAAUACAUGCAGAGGAUAGCACAGCGUGCACACAGAGUGAGGUAAUACAUGCAGAGGGUAGCACAGCGUGCACACAGAGUGAGGUAAUACAUGCAGAGGGUAGCACAGUGUGCACACAGAGUGAGGUAAUACAUGCAGAGGGUAGCACAGCCUGCACACAGAGUGAGGUAAUACAACUCGAGAAGCACAACCCAGCUCCACAAACAGACAAAGCAAUUAACACAGAAUCAGUGAGGCCAAAACUGGGUACAACAGGUUUCAUACAUCAUGUGAUACCAGUAAGGAAUGAAAAUGAGAAUAAAAAUCAUGAGGGGCAGGUGAGGUUUUGUCACCAUGGUCCUGUUAGUGCCCAGGAUAUAUUUAAAGAAAAGCAGCACAACCUGGAACAAAACACAUUUCUGCUUAAGCAGCAAUGUUGUACAUUAACUAUGCAGCACGUAAAGCAAUCUAGCAGUGAAGACUGGAGGACACACUUCAGUUCCAGAGGGGAUACAUUUAGCAACUGUGUAGAUAGUAAUAAACAAUCAGAUGAGUCAAACCGGAAGAUUACAUUAUCUAACAUUUUAAAAACAGUGGAGGAUUUCAAAGGUUCUGUGGACACAAUGGUUGGGUUAUCAACAGGAUCCCAAACCAAACAACGCAGCAAACUGUCCCUGCCUGUGAGAAUAGGAUCCUUGGAUAGGUUUAGAAGGAUGUAUGGAAAAACGUGUCCUUCUGCAGUUCAAUACUCCUGUCAAGAUAGUAACAACAAUUUAAGUACAGCAGCUGCCAGUAAUCCUGCUGAAGCAAAGCGAGAUGCCUCCACUAGUAAUGAAGCGGACAGCUGUAGUAGAUCUAAUAACUCUUCAAAGAACUGGGAAAGGAAUGAUUACACUAAAGAAGAGAAUGCCAUUACUCUUUCUGAUUACACGCAAAUAAAGAAAGCAUCACUAAAUACCAGCAAGCCACACGGGUCCCUUGCUACAAAACUGUCGAAGUUGAAGGGUUAUCAGAAGAACGAUACCAAGGUGCAGCCUGUGGGAGACAUUAGUGUCAGUGGUGCCCAGAAGGAUAGUGGAGAUCUCCAGCUUAUGCAUAGCAAUAACAGCAAUGCAGAAACACCCUCCCAAAUGCCACCCAAUAAAAAAACCCAAGUAACUAAUAAUUGUUUGAAGGGAUGUGAGAGUGGAGAGAAUAACAUUGAACAAACUGUAGAUUUUGAAGGCAACCAAAAAGAAGGCACCGUAAUAAGUGCGACAUAUUUGCAUCCUGAUACUGGGUACAAAGGAUGUGCAUUGAUUGCUCCCAGCCAGUCAGAUGGCGCAGCUCAGUGUCAUUACUGCAAUGAUGACAAAGAGAUUUCUUCUAAAGCUAUUCUCGGCAGUCCAAAAAAAGUGAAUGAAUGCAGUGACCUUGCCACUUGUAAGGCCAGGUUCGAGGAUGCAUCGAAAAGGAAGGAAAUCCCAAGUACCACACAGAGUUCCUCUAAUUGGGUAGAGCACUUUGAUGUGUCUGUGGGAAGGAUGGCUUACAUAAACACAGUGACUGGACUCAGCAAAUAUGUGGCUCCCCCAGAAAAAGAGACCCAAGCGAUCUGUACCACAGACAUAACCACAAUGGCAGUGAAUGUCGUCUCUGAAAAAGGAUUCGAGUAUAGGUGUUACCCCUUUCAGAUAGAGGCAAUAAUCCCUUUUCUUCCAAGACCAAGGGUAGAGAGAGCUAGCUCAGGGCAGGAAAGCAGAGGUGAGGCAUAAAUCACAAUGCUAGGGUCUCAACAGCAGGAACUUUGGAUGUAAUUGUAUCCUGAUAACAUGUGCUAGAGGUUUUGGUGGAUAUGUCCUGAAGCAGGAUUGUGACUUGAGUUAUACCACAAACUCAAUUUAACAUUUCCUUUUUUUCUUUUACAGGAAUAUUUACAAGAACAGAUAGCGGUGAGCGAUAGUGAUUAUUUUGUCAAUUAUAAUACCUAUUUUCUUUUCAACUAUAUGGACAAAAAGCAUUUUUACUGCAUGUUACUUUUUGCUCCUGUUAAUAUCAUAUGUAAUAGAUGUAAGAUUUGGGUUUUUUGUUUUGAAAUGUUUUUUUGUUUGUUUCAAGUUAAUCCAAUCAACAGGUCGGGUGCGAGGGACCCUGCCCCUGACAGUCCUCAAAGUCCUAGCUUCCCAAGCCUG
RNA transcript from Acipenser ruthenus (sterlet), 5028 nucleotides. It is a transcript of the gene named DNA mismatch repair protein Mlh3, with no coding region annotated. The transcript has 2 exons. NCBI's taxonomy places the organism in Eukaryota, Metazoa, Chordata, Actinopteri, Acipenseriformes, Acipenseridae. The record is from RefSeq and is a predicted model, not a curated record.